AUAGCUAGUCAUAAAUGUGAAUAUAGGGCAGAGCCAUUUUUAGAGAUGCAGAAUAUAUUUUAAAAAAAGUAAACUUGUGGCCAAUUCAUGUUGCUGUAUGGCAAAAACCAUCACAAUGUUGUAAAGUCACAAGCAUUCAUGGAGCAAAUCCUCCAUGUCAGACGCCAGGCUGAUCUUGGGCACCUACACAAGAGAAAUGUGGUUGUGACCCUACAGCCUAGAGGGAAAGAAAUAUAAGUUCCUUCCUUUCAGGGUAAAUAGCCAGAACUAAAUUGGAAUUCUAAUUGAGUGACCUGAGGCUGUGAGAACAAGGAAGGUUUGACCUCAGGACGGGUGGCAGUGACACAGCCCAGACUCUUCACAGGGUGUUGGACCUUCGUCUGGCCUGGACUAACUUCUAGCAGCAGGGCCUGUGAGGAGAAAGAACUUGAGGUGAGGCCUCUCCAGCCUUGGUCAAAGACCCAGCUGUGAGGUCAUGGAACACAGAGGAGAAGAAAUAAAGCCAAGGCAGGCAGCCCUCAGUGGAGGUCUGGCACUGGACAAAUGGUUCUAGUAUUUUCACCAUGAACUUCUUUGCCUUAAAUAACUUUGCUAUAUUUUUGCAGCAUCACUAAUUGACUAUAAGUCCAUUUUACUGUAAAAGACAAAACAAAAAAAAAAAAUUAAAGAAGAACAUGGAAAAAGACAUAACAAAAUGUGAGAAAUGAACAAAAUUUUAAGAGUUUUAUUGUGAAACACAAAAUAUUAGAAUACACUUGAAAUGUGUGGAAAUUCAAUAUCUCAUAUAUAACUGAUUUUAUUUUGUGGGUUUUAUCCAAACACUUGUCUUCCAAAUCUUUCAUUUAUAUUAUUUUAAACUUAUUGGUUUCUUUUUUUUUCUUUUUUUUUUUUUUGAGCCCUAUCCUGGUUCACUUUUUUUCUUUUUCACUAAAAUCCCCCCCUUCAUUAAGAGAGGUAUCACGUUCCAAACUCCAGGGUGCACAUUUGUAACUAAGUUUUGUGUGGCAUUGUGAGAGCCACUUCUCUGUUUGCUCUCAGCAUGCUGUCACUUGCCCAUUGACAGACGUUCCACAUUCUAUGGAAAAUGUGGGUGCAACUCUGCAGUUUCUAAGCCCUCAGUUUCAACCUGUUUCUCCUCCAACAUAGUGGGUUUCAAAAUAAGAAACCAACUUUUGGGGCAAAUUGCUGUCAUCAUCAUGACUUUUUUUUUUAUCAUGACUUUUGUAUAUUAUGUCAGAGCAAACUGUCAACCAGUCAUUUCAUCUUUUAUGGCAAAAUUGCCUCAUGGCCAGUUGUUAUGCUGCUAACAUGUUUGUGGCAAUAAUGCUUGUGCAAAGAUAUCUACAGCAGAGAUAUUUACAGCAAAAAUACUAAAUGUGAGCCAGAUCCAGAGCAUGCCCUGUGGCCACCAGAAUUUGUGCUGGAAGCAGUCAUCCUUCCCUCCUAGUAUGGAAGUUUCUAGAAAUCAGAGCUUGUAUCAAGCCUCCCCAUAAUCCAGGAGAAGAUUCAGAAACCAGUGUUAUAGAAAAGAUUUCUAAAGUAUUAAACUCUAAGGGGUCCAAUUCAUUCCCCAAACCUGUGAUCCUUUAAAUUACUGUAUUCUAUUUGUAAAACAAGA
This is a non-coding RNA of Odocoileus virginianus texanus, 1618 nucleotides long. The record is from RefSeq and is a predicted model, not a curated record. Lineage: Eukaryota; Metazoa; Chordata; Mammalia; Artiodactyla; Cervidae.